CCAGCCCCUCCCCUUGGCCUCUCUCAGAGUCUUAUCUCUGGAGAUUUACAAAUACCUAGUCCUUGCCAUGGGUAGCUGGGCCUUCUGCUACGUGGCCCUUUGUCUUCUGGGAGCAGGACCCAUGGAUGCUGAAAUCUACCAAGUGAGAUUCCUGCUCGCUGAGGCUGGACGGAAUGUGACCUUGGAGUGUAAACAGAAUCUGACCUACAACUCCAUGUACUGGUACCGGCAGGACCCAGGGCAGGGUCUAAGGCUGAUUUACUACUCUGCGGUGGUAAAGGAUGUUCAGAGAGGAGACAUAUCUGAAGGCUACAGUGUCUCUCGAGAGGAGAAGGGGCUGUUUCCUCUCACUGUGAAGGCGGCUCACACCAACCAAACAGCCUUGUACCUCUGUUCUGGUAGCGUCACAGUGGAGCACGGCCACAACCCACCUGUGCACAAACCCGCUCCAGCCCUGCAGCUCCCAAUAUAG
Non-coding RNA from Orcinus orca (killer whale), 472 nucleotides. The record is from the annotation of a RefSeq genome assembly. Lineage: Eukaryota; Metazoa; Chordata; Mammalia; Artiodactyla; Delphinidae.